GAACCAACAGAACACUGAAGAACCCCAGUUUCUCAUUCUGGUUCUAAUGGGUUCUACACUGGGGUUCUUUUAAAGGUCAGACUGGUUCUAAUGGGUUCUACACUGGGGUUCUUUUAAAGGUCAGACUGGUUCUAAUGGGUUCUACACUGGGGUUCUUUUAAAGGUCAGACUGGUUCUAAUGGGUUCUACACUGGGGUUCUUUUAAAGGUCAGACUGGUUCUAAUGGGUUCUACACUGGGGUUCUUUUAAAGGUCAGACUGGUUCUAAUGGGUUCUACACUGGGGUUCUUUUAAAGGUCAGACUGGUUCUAAUGGUUCUACACUGGGGUUCUUUUAAAGGUCAGACUGGUUCUAAUGGGUUCUACACUGGGGUUCUUUUAAAGGUCAGACUGGUUCUAAUGGGUUCUACACUGGGGUUCUUUUAAAGGUCAGACUGGUUCUAAUGGGUUCUACACUGGGGUUCUUUUAAAGGUCAGACUGGUUCUAAUGGGUUCUACACUGGGGUUCUUUUAAAGGUCAGACUGGUUCUAAUGGGUUCUACACUGGGGUUCUUUUAAAGGUCAGACUGGUUCUAAUGGGUUCUACACUGGGGUUCUUUUAAAGGUCAGACUGGUUCUAAUGGGUUCUACACUGGGGUUCUUUUAAAGGUCAGACUGGUUCUAAUGGGGUUCUACUGAGUUCUAAUGGAGUCAUAUUGGUUUUAUUUGUUAUUAUUAAUAGUGUCUGUUCUACGGUGGUUCUAAUGGGUCCAAUAGGGUUCUUUUAAAAGGUCCCACUGAUGUCCA
Dicentrarchus labrax (European seabass) is the source of this 784-nucleotide long non-coding RNA. RefSeq lists it as uncharacterized. Lineage: Eukaryota; Metazoa; Chordata; Actinopteri; Moronidae. The record is from RefSeq and is a predicted model, not a curated record. The transcript has 6 exons.